GACGAACGCUGGCGGCGUGCUUAACACAUGCAAGUCGAACGGAAAGGCCCUGCUUUUGUGGGGUGCUCGAGUGGCGAACGGGUGAGUAACACGUGAGUAACCUGCCCUUGACUUUGGGAUAACUUCAGGAAACUGGGGCUAAUACCGGAUAGGAGCUCCUGCUGCGUGGUGGGGGUUGGAAAGUUUCGGCGGUUGGGAUGGACUCGCGGCUUAUCAGCUUGUUGGUGGGGUAGUGGCUUACCAAGGCUUUGACGGGUAGCCGGCCUGAGAGGGUGACCGGCCACAUUGGGACUGAGAUACGGCCCAGACUCCUACGGGAGGCAGCAGUGGGGAAUAUUGCACAAUGGGCGGAAGCCUGAUGCAGCAACGCCGCGUGCGGGAUGACGGCCUUCGGGUUGUAAACCGCUUUCGCCUGUGACGAAGCGUGAGUGACGGUAAUGGGUAAAGAAGCACCGGCUAACUACGUG
Molecule: ribosomal RNA, 467 nt
Filed under: uncultured bacterium
Lineage: Bacteria
Description: partial 16S ribosomal RNA
Rfam family: Bacterial small subunit ribosomal RNA
Source: RNAcentral